GUAGGUGGCAAGCGUUGUCCGGAAUUAUUGGGCGUAAAGAGCGCGCAGGUGGUUCUUUAAGUCUGAUGUGAAAGCCCCCGGGCUCAACCGGGGAGGGUCAUUGGAAACUGGGGAACUUGAGUGCAGGAGAGGAAAGUGGAAUUCCACGUGUAGCGGUGAAAUGCGUAGAUAUGUGGAGGAACACCAGUGGCGAAGGCGACUUUCUGACCUGUAACUGACACUGAGGCGCGAAAGCGUGGGGAGCAAACAGGAUUAGAUACCCUGGUAGUCCACGCCGUAAACGAUGAGUGCUAAGUGUUGGGGGGUUUCCGCCCCUCAGUGCUGCAGCUAACGCAUUAAGCACUCCGCCUGGGGAGUACGGUCGCAAAGACUG
This 373-nucleotide ribosomal RNA is filed under the name uncultured organism. RNAcentral describes it as "partial 16S ribosomal RNA". It matches the Rfam family "Bacterial small subunit ribosomal RNA", at positions 527 to 896 of the family's 1533-position model. The record is from RNAcentral.